UUUUAUAAACGGAAUCCUAACAGAUUACUAACGGCAGGGGCGGCAUGAACAUUUUUCACUUUACAAGUGUAAGGACUGAAUUUUUGACAGUAUAACUAAACUCUCCGUUGAUGAUGUUUAUGUGUGUAAUUUAAUUACAUAAGCACUCGUCAAGUUUCAGGAAAAAAUGAGCUAAAACGGAGAAGUUACGCGAUUAUUAGUUUUCACUUAAGUGAAUAGUAACUCCGGUUUUUCGGUGAAGCCACGGAGUAGAGUUGGCUUUCUACGCGUAUCGGACUCCGUUCAUAGCGGUCCAAUAGCUCGUUUCGACCGGUUCAGCUAUUUUGGAACUACUGGCGCUGACGGAUUUUGAGUUUGACGCACGAAUUUCGAGAAAAUCCAAAAAUACAUAUUUUAUAUGUAUUUAUGUGUUAUUCCUUCUAUUGGAAAGAAAGUUUGGAUUUUGUCGUGAAUCCGUGGUCGAUCGUGGUGAAACAAAAUCGUAGCUUUGUUGUCUCCGAGGUGCUGAUCGUACUGGUGCAAUCCGUUCGCAAAUCUGACGGACGGAUCUGCGGAGAUCGCACGUUGAUCGAGGAGAGGUCGGUGUUGGAAAAUGGGUAAUUUCGCAAAAGAUGCGACAUUUUAUG
This 626-nucleotide long non-coding RNA is filed under the name Ananas comosus (pineapple). RNAcentral describes it as "long non-coding RNA (ACOM_LNC036822)". Lineage: Eukaryota; Viridiplantae; Streptophyta; Magnoliopsida; Poales; Bromeliaceae. The record is from RNAcentral.